UACGUAGGCAGCAAGCGUUGUUCGGAAUUACUGGGCGUAAAGAGUGUGUAGGCGGUGCUCUAAGUUCGGUGUGAAAUCUCCUGGCUCAACUGGGAGGGUGCGCCGGAAACUGGGGUGCUGGAGCGCGGGAGAGGAAAGCGGAAUUCCUGGUGUAGCGGUGAAAUGCGUAGAUAUCAGGAGGAACACCGGCGGUGUAGACGGCUUUCUGGACCGUAGCUGACACUGAGGCGCGAAGGCUAGGGGAGCGAACAGG
Molecule: ribosomal RNA, 253 nt
Filed under: uncultured bacterium
Lineage: Bacteria
Description: partial 16S ribosomal RNA
Rfam family: Bacterial small subunit ribosomal RNA
Source: RNAcentral